RNAcentral lists this ribosomal RNA (794 nucleotides) under uncultured bacterium. Its description in RNAcentral is "bacterial SSU rRNA". It matches the Rfam family "Bacterial small subunit ribosomal RNA", at positions 9 to 796 of the family's 1533-position model. The record is from RNAcentral.
GAGUUUGAUCCUGGCUCAGAUUGAACGCUGGCGGAAUGCUUUACACAUGCAAGUCGAACGGCAGCACGGGAGCUUGCUCCUGGUGGCGAGUGGCGAACGGGUGAGUAAUGCGUCGGAACGUACCGAGUAAUGGGGGAUAACGCAGCGAAAGCUGUGCUAAUACCGCAUACGCCCUGAGGGGGAAAGUGGGGGAUCGCAAGACCUCACGUUAUUCGAGCGGCCGACGUCUGAUUAGCUAGUUGGUGGGGUAAUGGCCUACCAAGGCGACGAUCAGUAGCGGGUCUGAGAGGAUGAUCCGCCACACUGGAACUGAGACACGGUCCAGACUCCUACGGGAGGCAGCAGUGGGGAAUUUUGGACAAUGGGGGCAACCCUGAUCCAGCCAUUCCGCGUGAGUGAAGAAGGCCUUCGGGUUGUAAAGCUCUUUCAGCUGGAACGAAACGGUACAGGCCAAUACCCUGUGCUAAUGACGGUACCGGCAGAAGAAGCACCGGCUAACUACGUGCCAGCAGCCGCGGUAAUACGUAGGGUGCGAGCGUUAAUCGGAAUUACUGGGCGUAAAGCGUGCGCAGGCGGAUUGUUAAGCAAGAUGUGAAAUCCCCGGGCUUAACCUGGGAAUGGCAUUUUGAACUGGCAGUCUAGAGUGCGUCAGAGGGGGGUGGAAUUCCACGUGUAGCAGUGAAAUGCGUAGAGAUGUGGAGGAACACCAAUGGCGAAGGCAGCCCCCUGGGAUGACACUGACGCUCAUGUACGAAAGCGUGGGUAGCAAACAGGAUUAGAUACCCUGGUAGUCG